GAGGGUAUAGCUGAGUGGUAGAGCAUAUGCUCAGCAUUUACAAGGUCCUGGGUUCAAUCCCCAGUACCUCCU
Molecule: transfer RNA, 72 nt
Filed under: Camelus bactrianus (Bactrian camel)
Lineage: Eukaryota; Metazoa; Chordata; Mammalia; Artiodactyla; Camelidae
Also listed under: 2 other names
Rfam family: tRNA
About the family: Transfer RNA (tRNA) molecules are approximately 80 nucleotides in length. Their secondary structure includes four short double-helical elements and three loops (D, anti-codon, and T loops). Further hydrogen bonds mediate the characteristic L-shaped molecular structure. tRNAs have two regions of fundamental functional importance: the anti-codon, which is responsible for specific mRNA codon recognition, and the 3' end, to which the tRNAs corresponding amino acid is attached (by aminoacyl-tRNA synthetases). tRNAs cope with the degeneracy of the genetic code in two manners: having more than one tRNA (with a specific anti-codon) for a particular amino acid; and 'wobble' base-pairing, i.e. permitting non-standard base-pairing at the 3rd anti-codon position.
Source: Rfam by way of RNAcentral